This 429-nucleotide ribosomal RNA is filed under the name Bacteroidota bacterium. RNAcentral describes it as "Bacteroidetes bacterium partial 16S ribosomal RNA". It matches the Rfam family "Bacterial small subunit ribosomal RNA", at positions 355 to 776 of the family's 1533-position model. Lineage: Bacteria; Pseudomonadati; Bacteroidota. The record is from RNAcentral.
UAGGGAAGCUUCCGCAAUGGACGCAAGUCUGACGGAGCAACGCCGCGUGAGUGAAGAAGGAUUUCGGUUCGUAAAACGCUGUUGUUAGAGAAGAACAGCGCAUAGAGUAACUGUUAUGCGUGUGACGGUAUCUAACCAGAAAGCCACGGCUAACUACGUGCCAGCAGCCGCGGUAAUACGUAGGUGGCAAGCGUUGUCCGGAUUUAUUGGGCGUAAAGCGAGCGCAGGCGGUCAAUUAAGUCUGAUGUGAAAGCCCCCGGCUCAACCGGGGAGGGUCAUUGGAAACUGGUUGACUUGAGUGCAGAAGAGGAGAGUGGAAUUCCAUGUGUAGCGGUGAAAUGCGUAGAUAUAUGGAGGAACACCAGUGGCGAAGGCGACUCUCUGGUCUGUAACUGACGCUGAGGCUCGAAAGCGUGGGUAGCAAACAGG